Molecule: ribosomal RNA, 153 nt
Filed under: Triticum aestivum (bread wheat)
Lineage: Eukaryota; Viridiplantae; Streptophyta; Magnoliopsida; Poales; Poaceae
Description: partial small subunit ribosomal RNA
Source: RNAcentral
AUGAGGGCUAGAGGGUGGUCUUGGAGCAAGAAAAGUGUUGAGUCCAGGCGCAUUAUGGUACGACUGAGACUGAGUUGGGCAGGAGCAAGCGGUUGGAUUGGCCUGACAGGGAAGUUUUUCCUAUGCAUUACCUCUGCCAAGAAAGGCCACUGA